AUUGCCUCAGUAACGGCGAGUGAAGCGGCAAGAGCUCAAAUUUGAAAGCUGGCCCCUUCGGGGUCCGCGUUGUAAUUUGCAGAGGAUGCUUCGGGUGCGGCCCCUGUCUAAGUGCCCUGGAACGGGCCGUCAGAGAGGGUGAGAAUCCCGUCUUGGGCAGGGUGCCCGUGCCCGUGUGAAGCUCCUUCGACGAGUCGAGUUGUUUGGGAAUGCAGCUCUAAAUGGGUGGUAAAUUUCAUCUAAAGCUAAAUACCGGCCGGAGACCGAUAGCGCACAAGUAGAGUGAUCGAAAGAUGAAAAGCACUUUGAAAAGAGAGUUAAACAGCACGUGAAAUUGUUGAAAGGGAAGCGCUUGCGACCAGACUCGGCCCCGGGGUUCAGCCAGCAUUCGUGCUGGUGUACUUCCCCGGGGGCGGGCCAGCGUCGGUUUGGGCGGCCGGUCAAAGGCCCCAGGAAUGUAUCGCCCUCCGGGGUUGUCUUAUAGCCUGGGGUGCAAUGCGGCCAGCCCGGACCGAGGAACGCGCUUCGGCACGGACGCUGGCG
This 543-nucleotide ribosomal RNA is filed under the name Aspergillus nidulans. RNAcentral's name for it is "eukaryotic LSU rRNA". It matches the Rfam family "Eukaryotic large subunit ribosomal RNA", at positions 74 to 631 of the family's 3401-position model. Lineage: Eukaryota; Fungi; Ascomycota; Eurotiomycetes; Eurotiales; Aspergillaceae. The record is from RNAcentral.